Molecule: unclassified non-coding RNA, 200 nt
Filed under: uncultured fungus
Lineage: Eukaryota; Fungi
Description: sequence contains ITS1
Source: RNAcentral
UUUUGCUAUUAUAAUUUUGGCUCAGACGUCACGGAUAAAGUGUGUUCGGUAGACUCUGGCGGGCACUCGUCAGCCGAAGCCGGCGGCGGGUGUGAGCCCGGGGGCCCGCCGAAGCAACGAGGUAAGGUAUACAGUGGGUGGAGGUUUGGGCACGGCCCAAUCACUCGAUAAUGAUCCUUCCGCAGGUUCACCUACGGAAA